GACGAACGCUGGCGGCGUGCCUAAUACAUGCAAGUAGAACGCACAGUUUAUACCGUAGCUUGCUACACCAUAAACUGUGAGUUGCGAACGGGUGAGUAACGCGUAGGUAACCUGCCUGGUAGCGGGGGAUAACUAUUGGAAACGAUAGCUAAUACCGCAUAAUAUUGAUUAUUGCAUGAUAAUUGAUUGAAAGAUGCUAUUGCAUCACUACCAGAUGGACCUGCGUUGUAUUAGCUAGUAGGUGAGGUAACGGCUCACCUAGGCGACGAUACAUAGCCGACCUGAGAGGGUGAUCGGCCACACUGGGACUGAGACACGGCCCAGACUCCUACGGGAGGCAGCAGUAGGGAAGCUUCGGCAAUGGACGAAAGUCUGACCGAGCAACGCCGCGUGAGUGAAGAAGGUUUUCGGAUCGUAAAGCUCGGUUGUAAGAGAAGAACGGGUGUGAGAGUGGAAAGUUCACACUGUGACGGUAUCUUACCAGAAAGGGACGGCUAACUACGUG
This 505-nucleotide ribosomal RNA is filed under the name uncultured bacterium. Its description in RNAcentral is "partial 16S ribosomal RNA". It matches the Rfam family "Bacterial small subunit ribosomal RNA", at positions 28 to 507 of the family's 1533-position model. The record is from RNAcentral.